This 497-nucleotide ribosomal RNA is filed under the name uncultured bacterium. RNAcentral describes it as "partial 16S ribosomal RNA". It matches the Rfam family "Bacterial small subunit ribosomal RNA", at positions 28 to 507 of the family's 1533-position model. The record is from RNAcentral.
GAUGAACGCUGGCGGCGUGCCUAAUACAUGCAAGUCGAGCGAACGGACGAGAAGCUUGCUUCUCUGAUGUUAGCGGCGGACGGGUGAGUAACACGUGGAUAACCUACCUAUAAGACUGGGAUAACUUCGUGAAACCGGAGCUAAUACCGGAUGAUCUUUUGAACCGCAUGGUUCAAAAGUGAAAGACGGUCUUGCUGUCACUUAUCGAUGGAUCCGCGCUGCAUUAGCUAGUUGGUAGGGUAACGGCUUACCAAGGCAACGAUGCAUAGCCGACCUGAGAGGGGGAUCGGCCACAAUGGAACUGAGACACGGUCCAGACUCCUACGGGAGGCAGCAGUAGGGAAUCUUCCGCAAUGGGCGAAAGCCUGACGGAGCAACGCCGCGUGUGUGAUGAAGGUCUUCGGAUCGUAAAACUCUGUUAUUAGGGAAGAACAUAUGUGUAAGUAACUGUGCACAUCUUGACGGUACCUAAACAGAAAGCCACGGCUAACUACGUG